RNAcentral lists this ribosomal RNA (222 nucleotides) under Triticum aestivum (bread wheat). RNAcentral describes it as "partial small subunit ribosomal RNA". Lineage: Eukaryota; Viridiplantae; Streptophyta; Magnoliopsida; Poales; Poaceae. The record is from RNAcentral.
AUGACCAUUAACAAGGCACAAGGACAAACUAUACCAAAUGUUGGUGUAUACCUCCCUGAACCGGUAUUUUCACACGGGCAGCUCUAUGUUGCUCUUUCUAGAGCUACAUCUAGGAGCAAUAUGAAGAUUCUUACUGUACCGGAUAAAAAAAAGGAAGGCCAGUCCAACCCCACUUCAAAUAUUACAAAGAACAUAGUCUACAAAGAAGUUCUCGGCAUCUAG